RNAcentral lists this ribosomal RNA (433 nucleotides) under uncultured bacterium. Its description in RNAcentral is "partial 16S ribosomal RNA". It matches the Rfam family "Bacterial small subunit ribosomal RNA", at positions 29 to 507 of the family's 1533-position model. The record is from RNAcentral.
AGCGAACGCUGGCGGCAGGCUUAACACAUGCAAGUCGAGCGGGCCUUUCGGGGUCAGCGGCGGACGGGUGAGUAACGCGUGGGAACGUGCCCUCUGGUUCGGAAUAACUCGGGGAAACUUGAGCUAAUACCGGAUACGCCCUUUUGGGGAAAGGCUUGCUGCCGGAGGAUCGGCCCGCGUCUGAUUAGCUAGUUGGUGAGGUAACGGCUCACCAAGGCGACGAUCAGUAGCUGGUCUGAGAGGAUGAUCAGCCACACUGGGACUGAGACACGGCCCAGACUCCUACGGGAGGCAGCAGUGGGGAAUAUUGGACAAGGGGCGCAAGCCUGAUCCAGCCAUGCCGCGUGAGUGAUGAAGGCCUUAGGGUUGUAAAGCUCUUUUAUCCGGGACGAUAAUGACGGUACCGGAGGAAUAAGCCCCGGCUAACUUCGUG